Rhagoletis pomonella (apple maggot) is the source of this 816-nucleotide long non-coding RNA. RefSeq lists it as uncharacterized. The transcript has 3 exons. Lineage: Eukaryota; Metazoa; Arthropoda; Insecta; Diptera; Tephritidae. The record is from RefSeq and is a predicted model, not a curated record.
UGUACAGAGGUUUUUGGAAGCUUAUCUUUAUUGUUAAUUUAAUUGGAAUAAUGGUCACACAACUGGACGAUAUUCGACAAAAGACUAGCGCGCGGUCAAAAGAACUCUAUAUUAAAAGAUGAUAUAUGGCACAAGUUGUCACUCCAGUUGAAUUGCUCGGAACGAGGUUGUAUUACACGUUGGAAAAGUAUUCGUGAUAGAUUUGGUAAAGAAUUAAGGAGGGCACAAGAAAACCCUGAUGAGAUGGUAAACUGGGAUAUGUUCGAACAUCUGCUAUUUUUAAGAGAUCAUUACAACAAGGAGUUGUUAGGCAAACAAAUGGAGAGGCGUUUCUUAAUAUAAAAUAUGCUCCAAAAAAACGAAGACGGGGACGUAAAAGAAAGAUAGAUUGUGAAGAAGAUGGGCCUAAAGAAGAUCGAGAUGACGACGAUGCCGAUCCUGAUGAGGUGGUUGAAAACCAGCAAUUAAUCGAGUUGGUAAAAGACCAUCCCGUACUAUAUGACAAAAUUAAAAUACGGGAUUCAAAAAAUUUGACAUUGAAAAAUGAUUCUUGGCGUGAGAUUUCCGAAAGCAUGGGAAUAUCAGAUUAGUUUUACACAACAGAUUCUGGCGAAGACGACCAAAACAAAAUAUAUGUGCAGCGACACACAGUGAUAUUUCCCCAAUUCGUGCCCAUAAAUCCACGAUAAAAGCAUUGAUUUUGGGCUUUUAUUCUAUUGGCACGUCCCGACCUUUUGCAUUGUUCAUAUGAUCAGUGUGAAACUGUUAGUUGAUGCAGCGCUCUGAAAAGUAAAAAUGUAAUGCUAAAGUUUAAAA